This 629-nucleotide ribosomal RNA is filed under the name uncultured bacterium. RNAcentral describes it as "bacterial SSU rRNA". It matches the Rfam family "Bacterial small subunit ribosomal RNA", at positions 895 to 1531 of the family's 1533-position model. The record is from RNAcentral.
UGAAACUCAAAGGAAUUGACGGGGGCCCGCACAAGUGGUGGAGCAUGUGGUUUAAUUCGAUGAUACGCGAGGAACCUUACCUAGGCUAGAAUGCGCGUGACCGGCUCAGAGAUGAGCCUUUCCUUCGGGACACAAAGCAAGGUGCUGCAUGGCCGUCGUCAGCUCGUGCCGUGAGGUGUUGGGUUAAGUCCCGCAACGAGCGCAACCCCUAUGUUUAGUUGCCAGCAUGUAAUGAUGGGGACUCUAGACAGACUGCCUGCGCAAGCAGUGAGGAAGGCGGGGACGACGUCAGGUCAUCAUGGCCCUUACGCCUAGGGCGACACACGUGCUACAAUGGACGGUACAGCGGGUAGCUACUGGGCGACCAGAUGCCAAUCUCGAAAAGCCGUUCUCAGUUCGGAUUGGAGUCUGCAACUCGACUCCAUGAAGCUGGAAUCACUAGUAAUCGCGCAUCAGCCAUGGCGCGGUGAAUACGUUCCCGGGCCUUGUACACACCGCCCGUCAAGCCAUGAAAGUCUGGUAGACCUGAAGCUGGUGCUCCGCAACGAAGCCAGUUAGGGUAGAACAGGUAAUUAGGGCUAAGUCGUAACAAGGUAGCCGUACCGGAAGGUGCGGCUGGAUCACCUCCU